This 719-nucleotide ribosomal RNA is filed under the name uncultured bacterium. Its description in RNAcentral is "bacterial SSU rRNA". It matches the Rfam family "Bacterial small subunit ribosomal RNA", at positions 62 to 750 of the family's 1533-position model. The record is from RNAcentral.
UCGACGAGAGGACAUGGGAAGCUUGCUUCCUAUGAAAUCGAGUGGCAAACGGGUGAGUAACGCGUAAACAACCUGCCCUUCGGAUGGGGAUAACAGCCGGAAACGGCUGCUAAUACCGAAUACGAUCUUUUCGUCGCAUGACGAAAAGAAGAAAGGAUGGCCUCUAUACAAAGCUAUCGCCGAAGGAGGGGUUUGCGUCUGAUUAGCUGGUUGGAGGGGUAACGGCCCAACAAGGCGAUGAUCAGUAGCCGGUCUGAGAGGAUGAACGGCCACAUUGGGACUGAGACACGGCCCAGACUCCUACGGGAGGCAGCAGUGGGGAAUCUUCCGCAAUGGACGAAAGUCUGACGGAGCAACGCCGCGUGAGUGAAGAAGGUCUUCGGAUUGUAAAGCUCUGUUAUACGGGACGAAAAAGACGGAUGCCAACAGUAUCCGUCCGUGACGGUACCGUAAGAGAAAGCCACGGCUAACUACGUGCCAGCAGCCGCGGUAAUACGUAGGUGGCAAGCGUUGUCCGGAAUUAUUGGGCGUAAAGGGCGCGCAGGCGGUUCGGUAAGUCUGUCUUAAAAGUGCGGGGCUUAACCCCGUGAGGGGACGGAAACUGUCGAACUUGAGUGUCGGAGAGGAAAGCGGAAUUCCUAGUGUAGCGGUGAAAUGCGUAGAUAUUAGGAGGAACACCGGUGGCGAAAGCGGCUUUCUGGACGACAACUGACGCUGAG